CAGUUACUAACCAAACCCGAUUUCAUCGGUUUUAGCUUCAUUCUCAAGUAGACUCAUCCAUUUGGAUUUUCAAAAAUCAUCCUCCACCCUCUCUUCGUCGCCUACAAUACUUGUCCCAUUUCAUGAAUGCAUUUUUUUUAAUUCCAUUUUGAUCAAUAAAGCUUAUUAAGCAACUAAAAGAGAAAUUAAAAAAGCAAUUAAAAGAGAAGGCAUCACAACUUACACCACCCCUGCCCCACUCCCCCAAUUGCAUCCAAAAGAAAACAGUGUUUUUCCUUCAUUUCUAUUAUCGGAGUGGGGGCGGGGAGAGGAAUCCAAGGAACAGACAAAAAGGAAGAGAGAAUUCUGUGGAGGGGGCAAUAAAUUUUUGAAGUGGGAGAAAAGAAGCAAAAGGACUCGGAGAGAACAGCGGCAAACUUAAGAAAGGAGAAAAUGAAAAUAAAAGAAAAAAAGAGAGGGACCAAUAAUAUCAUAUCAAAUCCAAAAUCACAACCCCAGGAAAGAGGUGUUGCGUUCCCAAUGAUCUGGGAAUUCAAAAUCUAACCAAAACAGAACAAAACAAAACAAAACAAAAUAAGACAUAAUAAACCAAAAAAAACUCAGAUUGCACAGUCCACAAAAAAAAAAGGAGGGUCCGAAAAUUGAUGCUCCAACAUUCGAGCAUCAGUUACUAAUGCAACUUCCAUUCUCAGAUCACACAAAAAUAUCUUCUCAGUUAAUAAUUCUAAAAGUAUUUCGUGACCCAAAACAACGCAUAAAAGCGAAUUUCAGAAAUAACAACAAAAAAAGUAAAAUUACCUAGCUUUAUCGAGUGAAUUGACCCAAAUCCACUGCCUUAAGAUCAACAGAUCCAAUCCAACAGCACAAUUAAGCAGAAAUGCAAAAUCUGACAGGAACAAGGGAAAGUGUUUUUGUUUUUCUUUGGAGAGAGAAAGGGAAAGGGGAGGAGAGAGAAAGAGUAUUGUUAUCACUAGGGGGGUAAUAUAUGUUGGAGUGGGAGAGAGAGAAAGUCGGGGGGUUGGAGGGAAUGAUUUGUUGCCAGGCGUGCUUGUCACUAACGGCAGAGAAGAAAAGGGAGGUGAAAGGAAA
Molecule: long non-coding RNA, 1089 nt
Filed under: Nicotiana tabacum (common tobacco)
Lineage: Eukaryota; Viridiplantae; Streptophyta; Magnoliopsida; Solanales; Solanaceae
Description: long non-coding RNA (NTAB_LNC004470)
Source: RNAcentral